Molecule: transfer RNA, 121 nt
Filed under: Thermochaetoides thermophila DSM 1495
Lineage: Eukaryota; Fungi; Ascomycota; Sordariomycetes; Sordariales; Chaetomiaceae
Description: Chaetomium thermophilum var. thermophilum DSM 1495 tRNA
Rfam family: tRNA
About the family: Transfer RNA (tRNA) molecules are approximately 80 nucleotides in length. Their secondary structure includes four short double-helical elements and three loops (D, anti-codon, and T loops).
Source: Rfam by way of RNAcentral
GCCCGGCUAGUUCAAUCGGUAAAGCGUGAGACUUAAAAGAAUCCCUUCCAAAAAGAGUUCUGGAGGAUGAAGAAUUGCUUCCGACAUCUCAAGGUGGUGGGAUCGACCCCCACGUCGGGCU